RNAcentral lists this transfer RNA (75 nucleotides) under Candidatus Woesearchaeota archaeon. RNAcentral describes it as "tRNA-Arg". It matches the Rfam family "tRNA". From Rfam's summary of the family: Transfer RNA (tRNA) molecules are approximately 80 nucleotides in length. Their secondary structure includes four short double-helical elements and three loops (D, anti-codon, and T loops). Lineage: Archaea; Nanobdellati; Candidatus Woesearchaeota. The record is from RNAcentral.
GAGCCUGUAGCCUAGCCUGGAUAGGGCAUCUGCCUCCUAAGCAGAAGAUCGGGGGUUCGAAUCCCCCCAGGCUCG